CUGUGGUUCCUGUAUGAAGACAGUAGCGGUGUCUUCAUGCAGGAACCACAUUG
MicroRNA precursor from Macaca fascicularis (crab-eating macaque), 53 nucleotides. The record is from Ensembl. NCBI's taxonomy places the organism in Eukaryota, Metazoa, Chordata, Mammalia, Primates, Cercopithecidae.